UAACAACAUCAAAUGUCUUAUCCAAAAGAAAGGAUAAAGAUGAGUAAUUGCACAUUUGAAUUCAAAUCAAAUUUUGAAUUCAAAUGGAUACCAACUCAUCCCUUAUCCACUAAAAGCGUGAGGCGUGGCUUAAAUUAUGCAUGGAGUGAUUUCAUGAGAAAUAUUUUCUCAUGUAAUAAAUAGGACGUAAAAAAAGGGAUAAGGUGCAAAGAUUGAUUGCCCAUUCAAAUUCAAACUUUAUUUUGAAUUUGAAUGGCCAACCAAUCAUCCUUAUCCAUUCAUUUGGCACAUUAAAGUGGGGCAUGGAGAAGGGCUUGGCGUGAGAAAAAAAUUCAUGAAAAGUUCCUUCUCAUGAAUUCAAAUGGGUGCAAUGGAAGUGAGGUGGCGCAUGG
Molecule: long non-coding RNA, 392 nt
Filed under: Elaeis guineensis (African oil palm)
Lineage: Eukaryota; Viridiplantae; Streptophyta; Magnoliopsida; Arecales; Arecaceae
Description: long non-coding RNA (EGUI_LNC035263)
Source: RNAcentral